This 380-nucleotide long non-coding RNA is filed under the name Physcomitrium patens. RNAcentral's name for it is "long non-coding RNA (PPAT_LNC008863)". The record is from RNAcentral. Lineage: Eukaryota; Viridiplantae; Streptophyta; Bryopsida; Funariales; Funariaceae.
CUGAAUUCAUAGAGAACAUCACUCACUUUGAAAAUCCCUCAAAAAUCCAAUACUGAUCCAAACGACACGAAAUCACCUCUCAAAAAUCCAUCCACAAGUCUUCUCUCUAAUUCAGCUCUUUGAUCUCCUAGAAAAUCCUUGAAUCGCCGUCAAAGUGUGGUUUUGUGCUUGAGGGUCUGAUUUCAAUCCAGGUUCAUAACUGGUCCUCUUCGGGUAUCAACUUUUGUCUUCUUGAGGUAAUUUUUACUAAUUUGCACUCCUAAUUCCUCUCUAUAUAUGCCUAUAUCCUUUAUUUUUCUAAUCUAUCUUAUUUUGCCUUAUUUAUGGCCUUACAAAGUAAAUAGAAGCAUAAUUUGUAAAUAGGCAGCAUUAGCACCUUU